GGGCGAUUAGCUCAGCUGGUAGAGCGUCUCGUUUACACCGAGAAAGUCGGCGGUUCGAGUCCGUCAUCGCCCACCA
RNAcentral lists this transfer RNA (76 nucleotides) under Rhodospirillaceae bacterium. Its description in RNAcentral is "tRNA-Val". It matches the Rfam family "tRNA". Rfam says of the family: Transfer RNA (tRNA) molecules are approximately 80 nucleotides in length. Their secondary structure includes four short double-helical elements and three loops (D, anti-codon, and T loops). Further hydrogen bonds mediate the characteristic L-shaped molecular structure. tRNAs have two regions of fundamental functional importance: the anti-codon, which is responsible for specific mRNA codon recognition, and the 3' end, to which the tRNAs corresponding amino acid is attached (by aminoacyl-tRNA synthetases). tRNAs cope with the degeneracy of the genetic code in two manners: having more than one tRNA (with a specific anti-codon) for a particular amino acid; and 'wobble' base-pairing, i.e. permitting non-standard base-pairing at the 3rd anti-codon position. The record is from RNAcentral. Lineage: Bacteria; Pseudomonadati; Pseudomonadota; Alphaproteobacteria; Rhodospirillales; Rhodospirillaceae.